This 252-nucleotide ribosomal RNA is filed under the name uncultured bacterium. RNAcentral's name for it is "partial 16S ribosomal RNA". It matches the Rfam family "Bacterial small subunit ribosomal RNA", at positions 524 to 775 of the family's 1533-position model. The record is from RNAcentral.
UACGUAGGGUGCAAGCGUUAAUCGGAAUUACUGGGCGUAAAGCGUGCGCAGGCGGUUUUGUAAGUCUGUCGUGAAAUCCCCGGGCUCAACCUGGGAAUGGCAAUGGAUACUGGCGAGCUAGAGUGUGUCAGAGGAUGGUGGAAUUCCCGGUGUAGCGGUGAAAUGCGUAGAGAUCGGGAGGAACAUCAGUGGCGAAGGCGGCCAUCUGGGACAACACUGACGCUGAGGCACGAAAGCGUGGGGAGCAACAGG